UAACAGAUCUUUCGGGAUGCUGACGAGUGGCGCACGGGUGCGUAGCGCGUAUGCAACCUUACCCUUUACUGGAGGAUAGCCCGGGGAAACUCGGAUUAAUACUUCAUAGUACUAUAGAUUGGCAUCAUAGAAAUUAAGUUAAAGUAUUUUAUUUAGGGUAAAAGGAGUGGGCAUGCCGUACCAUUAGUUAGGUUGGUGAAGGUAAUGGCUCACCAAGACGAUGAUGGUUAGGGGGCCCUGAGAGGGUGAUCCCCCCACACUGGUACUGAGAUACGGACCAGACUCC
This 286-nucleotide ribosomal RNA is filed under the name uncultured bacterium. RNAcentral's name for it is "partial 16S ribosomal RNA". It matches the Rfam family "Bacterial small subunit ribosomal RNA", at positions 70 to 339 of the family's 1533-position model. The record is from RNAcentral.